AGAUCAUUGGUGAUAGGUUAACUUGUUGUUCAUACCUUAGCUCAGCAGCUAGGGGGCAGCAGAUCAUUGGUGAUAGGUUAACUUGUUGUUCAUACCUUAGCUCAGCAGCUAGGGGGCAGCAGAUCAUUGGUGAUAGGUUCACUUGUUGUUCAUACCUUAGCUCAGCAGCUAGGGGGCAGCAGAUCAUUGGUACAGAAAACCUUUUAUUAUAACAGAUAUGACAGUACUACAUUGUAAUCAUCUACUCUUACGGUCAAGACGUAGAACCUUUCUCUAGCUCAGUAGUAACCAGACAGUUGGGGUUGAACGUUUGCAAUGUUUGACAGUUUGUAAAUCCUUUUUGUUAACCCUGUCAAUGUGUCUUCCUCUUCUAGCUGUGAGGCCACUGCACUGAGAACUGGUGUUACGGAGGAUCAGUAUGGACUUGUGAGUGAGGAAGCUAUCCUGUUAAGCAUGCUCAGUGACGCCUGUAACACUGGGCACUCUACUGUGUCUCUACUGUGUCUCUACUGGACUCUACUGGACUACUGGUCUCCACUCUGUCUCCACUGGACUCUACUGGACUCUACUGUGUCUUCACUGUGUCUCUACUGGACUCUACUGCACUAGUGGUCUCCACUCUGUCUCCACUGGACUCUACUGGACUCUACUGUGUCUUCACUGUGUCUCUACUGGACUCUACUGCACUACUGGUCUCCACUCUGUCUCCACUGGACUCUACUGGACUCUACUGUGUCUUCACUGUGUCUCUACUGGACUCUACUGCACUACUGGUCUCCACUCUGUCUCCACUGGACUCUACUGGUCUCUACUGUGCCUCCACUGGACUCUACUGGACUACUGGUCUCCACUCUGUCUCCACUGGACUCUACUGGACUACUGGUCUCCACUCUGUCUCUACUGGUCUCUACUGUGUCUCUACUGGACUCUACUGGUCUCUACUGGUAUCUACUGUGUCUCUACUGGUCUCUACUGGACUCUACUGGACUACUGGUCUCCACUCUGUUUCUACUGGACUCUACUGGUCUCUACUGGACUCUACCGGUCUCUACCGGUCUCUACUGGACUCUACUGGACUCUACUGAUCUCUACGGGACUACUGGUCUCCACUCUGUCUCCACUGGACUCUACUGGACUCUACUGUGUCUCUACUGGACUCUACUGGACUCUACUGUGUCUCGACUAGACUCUACUGGACUCUACUGUGUCUUUACUGGACUCUACUGGACUCUACUGUGUCUCUACUGUGUCUCUACUGGACUCUACUGUGUCUUUACUGGACUCUACUGGUCUCUACUGGACUCUACUGGACUCUACUGUGUCUCUGCUGGACUCUACUGGACUCUAGUGUGUCUCUACUGUGUCUCUACUGUGUCUCUACUGGACUCUACUGGACUCUACUGGUCUCUAUUGGACUCUACUGUGUCUCUACUGUGUCUCUACUGGACUCUACUGUGUCUUUACUGGACUCUACUGGUCUCUACUGGACUCUAGUGUGUCUCUACUGUGUCUCUACUGGACUCUACUGGACUCUACUGUGUCUCUACUGGGCUCUACUGGACUCUACUGGUCUCUAUUGGACUCUACUGUGUCUCUACUGGACUCUACUGGACUCUACUGGAUUCUGAAAACAACAGACACACAACAGACCACUCUGACAACAGACAUAUAAUAGACCAUUCUGACAACAACAGACCACUCUGACAACAACAGACGCACAACUGACCACUCGGACAACAACAGACACACAACAGACCACUCUGACAACAACAGACCACUCUGACAACAACAGACCACUCUGACGACAAAAGACCACUCUGACAACAACAGACCACUCUGACAACAACAGACCACUCUGACGACAAAAGACCACUCUGACGACAAAAGACCACUCUGACAACAACAGACCACUCUGACGACAACAGACCACUCUGACGACAAUAGACCACUCGGACAACAACAGACCACUCUGAAAACAACAGACACACAACAGACCACUCUGACAACAACAGACCACUCUGACAACAACAGACCACUCUGACAACAACAGACCACUCUGACAACAACAGACCACUCUGACGACAAAAGACCACUCUGACAACAACAGACCACUCUGACAACAACAGACCACUCUGACGACAAAAGACCACUCUGACAACAACAGACCACUCUGACAACAACAGACCACUCUGACGACAAAAGACCACUCUGACAACAACAGACACACAACAAACCCUCGCCCCUUGAGACUGAUGGCCUUUGGCAUUUCAUAACGAUGAGUGAAAAUUUGACAUUGCUAUGUAUGCAGUACUUAAAGAAAUAGUUUCACAAAUGCUGGUACGUCAUGUUCUGACUGUAUAUGUGUUUUAAUGAACUAGAUAUGUAUCACUGUUUAUAAUGUAGAAGAGUUGUUGUUUUAUUAAGUCUUAUUGAAGGAAGCAAACAGAUGGAAAGUACUCAGCAGACAGCCAGACAGACGCUAGUGGGGAUUCACUACCAGCUAUUCUGUUGAUUAACGCCUCGGUCACACCGACGGUGACAUUGCAUUGUGGUACACCAGAAGUACAUUCAUUUCCAAUGGAACGCUGCGUUUGUCUUGCAGCAUUGCGUUACAGAGGCAGUUGCAGUGCGUUCUGU
This 2637-nucleotide long non-coding RNA is filed under the name Salmo salar (Atlantic salmon). RNAcentral's name for it is "lncRNA (ENSSSAG00000083600.1)". Lineage: Eukaryota; Metazoa; Chordata; Actinopteri; Salmoniformes; Salmonidae. The record is from RNAcentral.